GGGUUGUGAGGUUAAGCGACUAAGCGUACACGGUGGAUGCCCUGGCAGUCAGAGGCGAUGAAGGGCGUGCUAAUCUGCGAUAAGCGCCGGUAAGGUGAUAUGAACCGUUAUAACCGGCGAUACCCGAAUGGGGAAACCCAGUGUGAUUCGUCACACUAUCAUUAACUGAAUCCAUAGGUUAAUGAGGCGAACCGGGGGAACUGAAACAUCUAAGUACCCCGAGGAAAAGAAAUCAACCGAGAUUCCCCCAGUAGCGGCGAGCGAACGGGGAGGAGCCCAGAGCCUGAAUCAGCAUGUGUGUUAGUGGAAGCGUCUGGAAAGGCGCGCGAUACAGGGUGACAGCCCCGUACACAAAAGCGCAUGUGCUGUGAGCUCGAUGAGUAGGGCGGGACACGUGGUAUCCUGUCUGAAUAUGGGGGGACCAUCCUCCAAGGCUAAAUACUCCUGACUGACCGAUAGUGAACCAGUACCGUGAGGGAAAGGCGAAAAGAACCCCGGCGAGGGGAGUGAAAAAGAACCUGAAACCGUGUACGUACAAGCAGUGGGAGCACCCUUCGGGGUGUGACUGCGUACCUUUUGUAUAAUGGGUCAGCGACUUAUAUUCUGUAGCAAGGUUAACCGUAUAGGGGAGCCGUAGGGAAACCGAGUCUUAACCGGGCGUUAAGUUGCAGGGUAUAGACCCGAAACCCGGUGAUCUAGCCAUGGGCAGGUUGAAGGUUGGGUAACACUAACUGGAGGACCGAACCGACUAAUGUUGAAAAAUUAGCGGAUGACCUGUGGCUGGGGGUGAAAGGCCAAUCAAACCGGGAGAUAGCUGGUUCUCCCCGAAAGCUAUUUAGGUAGCGCCUCGUGAAUUCAUCUCCGGGGGUAGAGCACUGUUUCGGCUAGGGGGCCAUCCCGGCUUACCAACCCGAUGCAAACUGCGAAUACCGGAGAAUGUUAUCACGGGAGACACACGGCGGGUGCUAACGUCCGUCGUGAAGAGGGAAACAACCCAGACCGCCAGCUAAGGUCCCAAAGUCAUGGUUAAGUGGGAAACGAUGUGGGAAGGCCCAGACAGCCAGGAUGUUGGCUUAGAAGCAGCCAUCAUUUAAAGAAAGCGUAAUAGCUCACUGGUCGAGUCGGCCUGCGCGGAAGAUGUAACGGGGCUAAACCAUGCACCGAAGCUGCGGCAGCGAACGUAUCACCCAAGACAACUUUACGGAGUUGACGAUUGACGGAGCGAAGCGACGUCAAAGCGUUCAUUAAAGUCGAGUUGGCUUAGGGAUACGUUCGUUGGGUAGGGGAGCGUUCUGUAAGCCUGUGAAGGUGUGUCGUGAGGCAUGCUGGAGGUAUCAGAAGUGCGAAUGCUGACAUAAGUAACGAUAAAGCGGGUGAAAAGCCCGCUCGCCGGAAGACCAAGGGUUCCUGUCCAACGUUAAUCGGGGCAGGGUGAGUCGACCCCUAAGGCGAGGCCGAAAGGCGUAGUCGAUGGGAAACGGGUUAAUAUUCCCGUACUUGGUGUUACUGCGAAGGGGGGACGGAGAAGGCUAUGUUGGCCGGGCGACGGUUGUCCCGGUUUAAGCGUGUAGGUGUGUGUUCCAGGUAAAUCCGGUUCACUUUAACACUGAGGCGUGACGACGAGGCACUACGGUGCUGAAGCAACAAAUGCCCUGCUUCCAGGAAAAGCCUCUAAGCAUCAGGUAACAUCAAAUCGUACCCCAAACCGACACAGGUGGUCAGGUAGAGAAUACCAAGGCGCUUGAGAGAACUCGGGUGAAGGAACUAGGCAAAAUGGUGCCGUAACUUCGGGAGAAGGCACGCUGACACGUAGGUGAAGUGAUUUACUCAUGGAGCUGAAGUCAGUCGAAGAUACCAGCUGGCUGCAACUGUUUAUUAAAAACACAGCACUGUGCAAACACGAAAGUGGACGUAUACGGUGUGACGCCUGCCCGGUGCCGGAAGGUUAAUUGAUGGGGUCAGCGCAAGCGAAGCUCCUGAUCGAAGCCCCGGUAAACGGCGGCCGUAACUAUAACGGUCCUAAGGUAGCGAAAUUCCUUGUCGGGUAAGUUCCGACCUGCACGAAUGGCGUAAUGAUGGCCAGGCUGUCUCCACCCGAGACUCAGUGAAAUUGAACUCGCUGUGAAGAUGCAGUGUACCCGCGGCAAGACGGAAAGACCCCGUGAACCUUUACUAUAGCUUGACACUGAACAUUGAGCCUUGAUGUGUAGGAUAGGUGGGAGGCUUUGAAGUGUGGACGCCAGUCUGCAUGGAGCCGACCUUGAAAUACCACCCUUUAAUGUUUGAUGUUCUAACGUGGACCCGUAAUCCGGGUUGCGGACAGUGUCUGGUGGGUAGUUUGACUGGGGCGGUCUCCUCCUAAAGAGUAACGGAGGAGCACGAAGGUUGGCUAAUCCUGGUCGGACAUCAGGAGGUUAGUGCAAUGGCAUAAGCCAGCUUGACUGCGAGCGUGACGGCGCGAGCAGGUGCGAAAGCAGGUCAUAGUGAUCCGGUGGUUCUGAAUGGAAGGGCCAUCGCUCAACGGAUAAAAGGUACUCCGGGGAUAACAGGCUGAUACCGCCCAAGAGUUCAUAUCGACGGCGGUGUUUGGCACCUCGAUGUCGGCUCAUCACAUCCUGGGGCUGAAGUAGGUCCCAAGGGUAUGGCUGUUCGCCAUUUAAAGUGGUACGCGAGCUGGGUUUAGAACGUCGUGAGACAGUUCGGUCCCUAUCUGCCGUGGGCGCUGGAGAACUGAGGGGGGCUGCUCCUAGUACGAGAGGACCGGAGUGGACGCAUCACUGGUGUUCGGGUUGUCAUGCCAAUGGCACUGCCCGGUAGCUAAAUGCGGAAGAGAUAAGUGCUGAAAGCAUCUAAGCACGAAACUUGCCCCGAGAUGAGUUCUCCCUGAGACUUAGAGUCUCCUGAAGGAACGUUGAAGACGACGACGUUGAUAGGCCGGGUGUGUAAGCGCAGCGAUGCGUUGAGCUAACCGGUACUAAUGAACCGUGAGGCUUAACCUUACAACGCCGAAG
Molecule: ribosomal RNA, 3011 nt
Filed under: Salmonella enterica subsp. enterica serovar Typhimurium
Lineage: Bacteria; Pseudomonadati; Pseudomonadota; Gammaproteobacteria; Enterobacterales; Enterobacteriaceae
Description: bacterial LSU rRNA
Rfam family: Bacterial large subunit ribosomal RNA
Source: RNAcentral